CCUACGGGAGGCAGCAGUGAGGAAUAUUGGUCAAUGGGCGAGAGCCUGAACCAGCCAAGUCGCGUGAGGGAGUACUGCCCUAUGGGUUGUAAACCUCUUUUGUCGGGGAGCAAAAGCCGGACGUGUCCGGCUGUGAGAGUACCCGAAGAAAAAGCAUCGGCUAACUCCGUGCCAGCAGCCGCGGUAAUACGGAGGAUGCGAGCGUUGUCCGGAUUUAUUGGGUUUAAAGGGGGCGCAGGCGGAGUUUUAAGUCAGCGGGAAAAUCGUGGGGCUAAACCCCAUCCAGCCGUUGAAACUGGGGAUCUAGAGUGUGCGAGAGGUAUGCGGAAUGCGUGGUGUAGCGGUGAAAUGCAUAGAUAUCACGCAGAACCCCGAUUGCGAAGGCAGCAUACCGGUGCACAACUGACGCUCAGGCACGAAAGCGUGGGUAUCGAACAGGAUUAGAUACCCCGGUAGUC
RNAcentral lists this ribosomal RNA (458 nucleotides) under uncultured bacterium. RNAcentral's name for it is "partial 16S ribosomal RNA". It matches the Rfam family "Bacterial small subunit ribosomal RNA", at positions 338 to 795 of the family's 1533-position model. The record is from RNAcentral.